RNAcentral lists this unclassified non-coding RNA (352 nucleotides) under soil metagenome. RNAcentral's name for it is "partial contains 5.8S ribosomal RNA, internal transcribed spacer 2, and large subunit ribosomal RNA". The stretch from base 1 to 120 matches the Rfam family "5.8S ribosomal RNA", at positions 35 to 154 of the family's 154-position model. The record is from RNAcentral.
GAUGAAGAACGUAGCGAAAUGCGAUAAGUAAUGUGAAUUGCAGAAUUCAGUGAAUCAUCGAAUCUUUGAACGCACAUUGCGCCCGCCAGUAUUCUGGCGGGCAUGCCUGUUCGAGCGUCAUUACAACCCUCAGGCCCCCGGGCCUGGCGUUGUGGAUCGGCGGAGCCCCCCGUGGGCACACGCCGUCCCCCAAAUGCAGUGGCGGUCCCGCCGCAGCUUCCAUCGCGUAGUAGCUAACACCUCGCGACUGGAGAGCGGCGCGGCCACGCCGUAAAACACCCAACUCUUCUGAAGUUGACCUCGAAUCAGGUAGGAAUACCCGUUGAACUUAAGCAUAUCAAUAAGCGGAGGA